This is a long non-coding RNA of Telopea speciosissima, 327 nucleotides long. RefSeq lists it as uncharacterized. The transcript has 2 exons. The record is from RefSeq and is a predicted model, not a curated record. NCBI's taxonomy places the organism in Eukaryota, Viridiplantae, Streptophyta, Magnoliopsida, Proteales, Proteaceae.
GAUAUCAAUUUCUUAUUUUUCUUCUUCCUUUAAAAUUUUAAUUGACUGCUGCAUAUGAAUAGUGUCAAAAGCCUUGAUCUUCAGCUCCUAGGAGAAGUUGGUGAAGGAAAUAGCUAAUGUGAUUAGAUUUGUUUCAGGUGGUUGUGAAUUUUGGUAAAAUGGAAGUUACAGGGGGCUAAAAGUUAUCAGGUUCUAUGGAAUUGACUGAUAUUUGGGCAGUGUGGGGGCCUUUGCGCAAUUCAUUCAACAUAAUCAGUCUUAGUCUCAACAGAUCCACAGGCAAGAGGUGCUCUGGCAUGGAAUAUGAAUUAGAUUGGACAAAACCCA